Stegostoma tigrinum is the source of this 2260-nucleotide long non-coding RNA. RefSeq lists it as uncharacterized. The transcript is spliced from 5 exons. NCBI's taxonomy places the organism in Eukaryota, Metazoa, Chordata, Chondrichthyes, Orectolobiformes, Stegostomatidae. The record is from RefSeq and is a predicted model, not a curated record.
GCGCGACACCAUCUUAACGUAGGUGUUUGGUCUCUGAUCUGUAUGUUAUGGCUCAGAUGGUAGCACGCCCGCCGUAAAACUACAAACAAAUAAAAGUUACAGGCCAAGAUUUCAAUAAACAACAACAAAAAAAAUGUCUGACCCUCCAGUGUACAUUAUCAAAUCGUUCAGGUUUUUAGUAUCUUCUGUACAUUUUGCUCUACCACUGGUCGCCAUAAUACAGGAAGGAUGUGAUUGCACAGCAGCGGAUGCAGAGGAGAUUCACCAGGGUGUUGCCUGUUAUACAAAAUUUAAAUUAUGAAGAAAGAUUUCUCAAUUCUUCCCUACAUUGCCUGCUGAAAAUGAGACACAACACUUCAGACUUGUGAUAAAAAUGAAGAGACUGUCAGCAUUUGCCAUUGAACUUUAAACUGCACAGCGACAACCAGUGACUAGAAAUGUGCCAUCAGAAAUGGAAUUCAGGAAAUUAUUGUACAAGUAGCCCUGCUUCUCCAGAGACUUUGCAAGAUCAAUAUCUCAACAAGCUGAAGUAACCAAGGAAGUCAGUGAGUUCAAAGUUCCUGGAGGGACAUGUCAGCUACUGGAUAUCACCCAAAAGGCAAGUACCCCUGGCUGUUGUGUACCUGGACAAAACCUGGCAUUCUGAAACUGUCUUACUUGAUGAUGGAGAGUAGUUCAGAAGGUGUUGGACAAGGGGAAAACAGUGCUGUGUUCAUUUGACAGGGAUUUGGUGCUCCUAGUGAGUGAGAUUGUCCAGAGGAGGGCUAACCCCUUUCCAAAGAACUGCCAGAGGAUACCAUAACAUCAAAUCUUGGGAGCCUGGUCCAAAGGUGACAACUUAGUUCGUGAUGUUUUGUAGCACAAAAGAGCAGCCAUAGUGUAGAAGAGGCUCAAUGGCCUCCUCUAUUCCACCAGGGUGCCAGAGAAUAGCCUUGGCCCUGGUGGAGGAAUAGGCUGGUGUGCCAGAAGGGAUUUCCCUGAUCUUUCAGGAACGUGCCUGGAGGCCUUAGAGGAAGCAUGGGCAAGACUGCCUCCUGCACGCCUACAAGCUCAGAGACUGACAUGUUUGGAAGUACAAACUGGUGACCAUGUCAUUCUGACAGCUGUGUGGCUGGUCAAGGAAGAAACUACCCAGUCCACAUGUACUUGGAGCACUGCUGGAGACCAGAUAUCUGGUCAGCCCCAGGCAGAUUAAGAUCCUGUCUAUUCAGCACUCAAAGAUUUAAUCAAAAUGCAUGAAGUGGUACAGAGACAGCAGGCAGAUAUGAGGCAGGCAAUGGCCUCCAAUGUCCAGAGGCUGCAGGAGUACAGCUAGGCUAUGGGGACACAGUUACAUCAGGCAUGUGACUGUCUGGCUGUCUCCACAGACAGGUUGGUGGCUGCCAUGGACAGCCACACCAAACACUUUCACAAUCUGCUGGUUUUGCACACAGAUCUGCACUCCAUCACCCUAUGCAUUUUUUCUCAUAACCAAAAGGCAUGAUGACAGGGCAAUGGGAUUGUUGAGCUCACGCAGGUGCCCAGCCAGAACAGGAAGACCCACAAGUCUCAUCUCACCAGAGCAAUAUUCUCAAUAAAUUACCUUUUCUGCUACACAGGUCUCAGAGAUUCCUGUUCAGUAUGGCCUCUACAAGCAGAAGCCAAUUCAUCAGCUGGCAUAUUCACCCACAGACAUGCACUUUAGUGGGAACAGAGGUGAUCCACCUCUGACCUUUGGAUGUUCAAGGCAAGGAGGGUCCACUUGCCUCUGAAAAGAAGACUCUCAGCAUGUCUGGGCCAUCUAAAUACAAACUCACCCAAUGUUGCCUGACUAAAUCCUCAAGGCCUACAAGCUCCGAUGUCGAGAACAAUCUCUCCUCCAUAGCUGUGGAAACUGUGACUGCACUGUAAUGUACUGGGAGGAAUGGCAAAUUGUUGGAACAGGUGGCAUUACACUGUUUAUCAAUGCUCAAAUUUAAAUAAAUGUCAUGGGAUCUGCACUAAAUCUGUUUGUUGGAGUCUGUCAAGCCCCAAAUGGAUCUGUGUCAGCAUGCUGUCUAAUAUCAUGUCCACACAUGAUAUACCCUGGAGGGGUUUCUGUGUUGACAGCAGCAUCCCCUCCUCCAAAGCCCAUUUCCCUUUUUUUAUUUAGGGCAGACCAAGCAAAGUGACUGUCGUCCAGCGCCUCGAGCAAUCUAACCAGACAGCUCCGGUUGAAAAAUGCCCAAACUCCUAUCCAAUAUCCGUGUGUCUCCUGGGCUACAUUAGCCUGAGACACAGA